Molecule: ribosomal RNA, 371 nt
Filed under: uncultured bacterium
Lineage: Bacteria
Description: bacterial SSU rRNA
Rfam family: Bacterial small subunit ribosomal RNA
Source: RNAcentral
GGGGGGUGCGAGCGUUGUCCGGAAUCACUGGGCGUAAAGGGCGCGUAGGUGGCGUGAUAAGGGUGUGGUGAAAGCCCGGGGCUCAACCCCGGGUCUGCCAUGCCGACUGUCAGGCUGGAGUACUGUAGGGGCAGGCGGAAUUCCGGGUGUAGCGGUGGAAUGCGUAGAGAUCCGGAGGAAGACCGGUGGCGAAGGCGGCCUGCUGGGCAGUUACUGACACUGAUGCGCGACAGCGUGGGGAGCAAACAGGAUUAGAUACCCUGGUAGUCCACGCCGUAAACGAUGGGUACUAGGUGCCUGGGGGAGCGACCCCUUGGGUGCCGGCGCUAACGCANGAAGUACCCCGCCUGGGGAGUACGGCCGCAAGGNUG